UACCUUCCUCCCAAACCCUACCUUCCUUGUUACUGUGAAUAACAACAUCCUCCCAGGUCCUCAGGCUCCUGUGUGAAGUGGAAAUUGAAGAGGACCUUGAAAAUAUUGAGCUUAUAACAGCCUUGGUGAAGAUGUGGCACACAUGCAGAGUUGGCAUUCCAGGAGCUGCUCAAUCCCCCUCUUCCCAAUGACCCAAAGCAAGCACUUUCUCCCUCAACUCUCUCUGUUACAAGGCUGAUGACUUCAAAAGAUGCAGGAAGCAACACAUGAAACCUAGAAUUAGCUAGCAUCUGCUAGAGAUCUAGAAGAGAACAGCAAUCAUUCAAGCCACAAGCCAGAGGCCAUAGACCAGGAGAAACAGAAUCAACCAGAGCCAAUCAGAGGGUUCCUGGAGGUGAAUUUUGAAGUCAAAUACCAUAGAGUGAAAGAAGAAUCUGGGAAUUAUAUCCAUCAUUGGCUACCUUCAAAUAAAACUGGCAAACUCUCCAAGGCAAGAAGUGACCACCAGGAUUGAUAGAGGGAGUUUCUGCACCUGGAAGUUUUCUUUCUUAUUGAAAUCACAGUCUCCAUUCCUAUCUUCACUGCCUCUAAGAACCCUGAAUGAAGAGAAUUAAAUAAACAGACUAAAAAUCAACA
Molecule: long non-coding RNA, 636 nt
Filed under: Monodelphis domestica (gray short-tailed opossum)
Lineage: Eukaryota; Metazoa; Chordata; Mammalia; Didelphimorphia; Didelphidae
Description: lncRNA (ENSMODG00000036593.1)
Source: RNAcentral